GACGAACGCUGGCGGCGUGCUUAACACAUGCAAGUCGAACGGAAAGGCUCCAGCUUGCUGGAGUACUCGAGUGGCGAACGGGUGAGUAACACGUGGGUAAUCUGCCCUGCACUCUGGGAUAAGCCUGGGAAACUGGGUCUAAUACUGGAUAUGACCUUUCUCCUUAUGGGGUUUGGUGGAAAGUUUUUCGGUGUAGGAUGAGCCCGCGGCCUAUCAGCUUGUUGGUGGGGUGAUGGCCUACCAAGGCGACGACGGGUAGCCGGCCCGAGAGGGUGAUCGGCCACAUUGGGACUGAGAUACGGCCCAGACUCCUACGGGAGGCAGCAGUGGGGAAUAUUGCACAAUGGGCGGAAGCCUGAUGCAGCGACGCCGCGUGAGGGAUGACGGCCUUCGGGUUGUAAACCUCUUUCAGCAGGGACGAAGCGUAAGUGACGGUACCUGCAGAAGAAGCACCGGCUGACUAUGUG
Molecule: ribosomal RNA, 467 nt
Filed under: uncultured bacterium
Lineage: Bacteria
Description: partial 16S ribosomal RNA
Rfam family: Bacterial small subunit ribosomal RNA
Source: RNAcentral